UACGUAGGGGGCUAGCGUUGUCCGGAAUCAUUGGGCGUAAAGAGCGUGUAGGCGGUCCGGUAAGUCCGUUGUGAAAGUCAAGGGCUCAACCCUUGAAUGCCGGCGGAUACUGUCGGGCUAGAGUCCGGAAGAGGCGAGUGGAAUUCCCGGUGUAGCGGUGAAAUGCGCAGAUAUCGGGAGGAACACCUAUGGCGAAGGCAGCUCGCUGGGACGGCACUGACGCUGAGACGCGAAAGCGUGGGGAGCAAACAGG
Molecule: ribosomal RNA, 253 nt
Filed under: uncultured bacterium
Lineage: Bacteria
Description: partial 16S ribosomal RNA
Rfam family: Bacterial small subunit ribosomal RNA
Source: RNAcentral